Molecule: ribosomal RNA, 672 nt
Filed under: Enterococcus sp.
Lineage: Bacteria; Bacillati; Bacillota; Bacilli; Lactobacillales; Enterococcaceae
Description: bacterial SSU rRNA
Rfam family: Bacterial small subunit ribosomal RNA
Source: RNAcentral
GCAGUCGAACGCUUCUUUCCUCCCGAGUGCUUGCACUCAAUUGGAAAGAGGAGAGGGGGACGGGUGAGUAACACGUGGGUAACCUACCCAGUCAGAGGGGGAUAACACCUUGGAAACAGGUGCUAAUACCGCAUAACAGUUUAUGCCGCAUGGCAUAAGAGUGAAAGGCGCUUUCGGGUGUCGCUGAUGGAUGGACCCGCGGCUGCAUUAGCUAGUUGGUGAGGUAACGGCUCACCAAGGCCACGAUGCAUAGCCGACCUGAGAGGGUGAUCGGCUCUACUGGGACUGAGACACGGCCCAGACUCCUACGGGAGGCAGCAGUAGGGAAUCUUCGGCAAUGGACGAAAGUCUGACCGAGCAACGCCGCGUGAGUGAAGAAGGUUUUCGGAUCGUAAAACUCUGUUGUUAGAGAAGAACAAGGACGUUAGUAACUGAACGUCCCCUGACGGUAUCUAACCAGAAAGCCACGGCUAACUACGUGCCAGCAGCCGCGGUAAUACGUAGGUGGCAAGCGUUGUCCGGAUUUAUUGGGCGUAAAGCGAGCGCAGGCGGUUUCUUAAGUCUGAUGUGAAAGCCCCCGGCUCAACCGGGGAGGGUCAUUGGAAACUGGGAGACUUGAGUGCAGAAGAGGAGAGUGGAAUUCCAUGUGUAGCGGUGAAAUGCGUAGAUAUA